GUCAGGUCAAGGGACUCCCCCGACGACUGCACCCCACGGUGCUGGCACGCCCGUACACUCGCGCUCAAAAGAGACAGUUUGCACGCCAACUGGUUUUGGAGCCAAACAACUGCUAAAGAAGUCUUUCUCAGGCAGCCUAAUCUUCUUGAAUUGGCAACUCCCAUUAAUGUUUGUGGUACCAUAAUUUCUUGAUGUCAGCAUUGCUAAAGAUUGAAAUAUCCCAUCACUAGAUUUUAGUCUCAGGCUCUCAGCUGAUGCAUAAACACAAGAGCCUUUGUCCAAUGUGAGAGCUGGCGCCGACGAUGGUCCAGAGCUUUCUGUUUAAGCUCUGUAAAGGAGUGGCGCACUGCCACUCCCACGGCGUGCUUCACCAUGCUUUGAAGCUGCAGAAUCUGCUUCUGGAUAAGGAUAGAGGGGUUCUCAAGAUCGCCGAUUUUGGAUAGCGUUCACUGUGCCUCUCAAGAGCUGUACACAUGAGAUUGUGACUCUCUGGUAUAGAGCACCGAAGGUUCUGCUCGGGUCUACUCACUACUCCACCGGCGUUGAUAUGUGGUCGGUCGGAUGCAUAUUCGGACUUGGCUUCGAGGACGAUAAUUGGUGUGGGUAAGCGAUGAUGAGACCUUUAUUAUCUUGUGACGUUUGUUUCCAUCUCCCCAUCCAAACACCCUUUCGCUUCUCACCUUACCAUCUCCUGCGACCUUUGGCAUCACCGUUUGUGGCAUCCUUCUCCUGCCUGUUUACAAUAUAUAGCCAAUAAGUAGCUUCAUUUUCAUUUCGAUUCCAAUAGUAAGUGUGAAAUUUGUCCUUUGGCUAAACAAACUCGCCAACCUUUUCCUUCUAGUUCAAUAUCAACUUCUCGAUGUUUUUCUCUUCUACAUUGUGAUAUUUGGGGACUACAUAAAAGUAUAAA
Rosa chinensis is the source of this 910-nucleotide long non-coding RNA. RefSeq lists it as uncharacterized. The transcript has 3 exons. Lineage: Eukaryota; Viridiplantae; Streptophyta; Magnoliopsida; Rosales; Rosaceae. The record is from RefSeq and is a predicted model, not a curated record.